GUCGUUGUAGUAUAGUGGUGAGUAUUUCCGCCUGUCACGCGGACGACCAGGGUUCGAUCCCCGGCAACGGCG
RNAcentral lists this transfer RNA (72 nucleotides) under Turnera subulata. It matches the Rfam family "tRNA". From Rfam's summary of the family: Transfer RNA (tRNA) molecules are approximately 80 nucleotides in length. Their secondary structure includes four short double-helical elements and three loops (D, anti-codon, and T loops). Further hydrogen bonds mediate the characteristic L-shaped molecular structure. tRNAs have two regions of fundamental functional importance: the anti-codon, which is responsible for specific mRNA codon recognition, and the 3' end, to which the tRNAs corresponding amino acid is attached (by aminoacyl-tRNA synthetases). tRNAs cope with the degeneracy of the genetic code in two manners: having more than one tRNA (with a specific anti-codon) for a particular amino acid; and 'wobble' base-pairing, i.e. permitting non-standard base-pairing at the 3rd anti-codon position. Lineage: Eukaryota; Viridiplantae; Streptophyta; Magnoliopsida; Malpighiales; Passifloraceae. The record is from Rfam by way of RNAcentral.